Long non-coding RNA from Etheostoma spectabile (orangethroat darter), 493 nucleotides. RefSeq lists it as uncharacterized. The record is from RefSeq and is a predicted model, not a curated record. NCBI's taxonomy places the organism in Eukaryota, Metazoa, Chordata, Actinopteri, Perciformes, Percidae. The transcript is spliced from 4 exons.
GACAACAUCUGUGUCCCAACAGGUAACGGUACAGACAACAUCUGUGUCCCAACAGGUAACGGUACAGACAACAUCAGUGUCCCAACAGGUAACGGUACGGACAACAUCUGUGUCCCAACAGGUAACGGUACAGACAACAUCAGUGUCCCAACAGGUAAUGGUACGGACAACAUCAGUGUCCCAACAGGAAACGGUACGGACAACAUCGUUGUCCCAACAGGUAACGGUACGGACAACAUCUGUGUCCCAACAGGUAACGGUACAGACAAUAUCGUGUCCCAAACAGGUAACGGUACAGACAAUAUCUGUGUCCCAACAGGUAACGGUACAGACAACAUCUGUGUCCCAACAGGUAACGGUACAGACAACAUCUGUGUCCCAACAGGUAACGGUACAGACAACAUCAGUUUCCCAACAGGUAACGGUACAGACAACAUCUGUGUCCCAACAGGUAACGGUACAGACAACAUCAGUGUCCCAACAGGUAACGGUA